GUUAAUCUUUAGUUCAGGUUAAGGUCACAGUAGCCACAUCGUUAUGAAUAAUACAUAAUUCGAAAUAGAUUGAAGUGAAUUGAUUAAAUAGUUUGUUGCUCCUCUCCGGACCUACAAGAUAUCUAAAUAAAGUUGAUAAACUGUGACAAAUUCAAACGAGGAUACGGAUACCAAAGUAGCAAAGACAUCCACCAAAGGAGCUUUCUCCGUAACGGGGCGAAGAUAGAAUUACAUUUUCUUUUGUUACUUUUAAUUUUGAUCUGUAUAUAAAUAUCCUGAAUAUAUUUAUUUCAUUUUUAA
Molecule: long non-coding RNA, 300 nt
Organism: Diabrotica virgifera virgifera (western corn rootworm)
Lineage: Eukaryota; Metazoa; Arthropoda; Insecta; Coleoptera; Chrysomelidae
Exons: 2
Source: RefSeq, a predicted model, not a curated record